AUACGUAGGUGGCAAGCGUUGUCCGGAAUUAUUGGGCGUAAAGCGCAUGUAGGCGGUAAUUUAAGUCUGUCGUGAAACUGCGGGGCUCAGCCCCGUAUGGCGAUGGAAACUGGGUUACUUGAGUGCAGGAGAGGAAAGGGGAACUCCCAGUGUAGCGGUGAAAUGCGUAGAUAUUGGGAAGAACACCGGUGGCGAAGGCGCCUUUCUGGACUGUGUCUGACGCUGAGAUGCGAAAGCCAGGGUAGCGAACGGGAUUAGAUACCCCGGUAGUCCUGGCCGUAAACGAUGGGUACUAGGUGUGGGAGGUAUCGACCCCUUCCGUGCCGGAGUUAACGCAAUAAGUACCCCGCCUGGGGAGUACGGCCGCAAGGCUUAAACUUAAAGGAAUUGACGGGG
This 396-nucleotide ribosomal RNA is filed under the name uncultured bacterium. Its description in RNAcentral is "partial 16S ribosomal RNA". It matches the Rfam family "Bacterial small subunit ribosomal RNA", at positions 523 to 918 of the family's 1533-position model. The record is from RNAcentral.